This 1977-nucleotide ribosomal RNA is filed under the name Triticum aestivum (bread wheat). Its description in RNAcentral is "partial small subunit ribosomal RNA". Lineage: Eukaryota; Viridiplantae; Streptophyta; Magnoliopsida; Poales; Poaceae. The record is from RNAcentral.
AUGAGAAGCUACGAGUGCCUGAAGAUGGAUGAAAGUGAGACGGUUGAUCAGUUUGCCGCCCGUCUCAAGACCCUCGUCAAUGGCAUACGCAGCUAUGGUUCAACCCUAGAAGAAGUUGCGAUCGUCCGACGAUUUUUGCGCGCCGCGCCGGCACGCUACAUUCAGAUUGUCACGUCGAUCGAGCAAUGUCUCGACCUGAAGACUCUCACGGUUGAGGAUCUCGUCGGAAGGUUCAAGGCCCACGACGAGAGAAUUCGUCUCAGUUUCGGCGACACGGAGGCGAGUGAGCACCUCAUGCUUACAAAGGCGCAAUGGAUCGCCCUGUCGAAAGAAAAGCAAGGCGGAUCUACGAGCAGCGACAAGAAGAAGGGGAAGGGGAAGCAGCGCUCGGCGAGAAAGAACUUCGCCGACUCGGACGACGAGGAUGCGCCUGCACCACCGAGGAGGAAGUUUGACAUCAGAAAAGUGAGGUGUCAUAAGUGUGGCCUCCUCGGUCACUUCAAGGCUAACUGCGAGGAAGCACCGAAGCAACGGGCGCUUAUGGCCGAGGAAGGAGACGAUGGGGAUAUGAUGCUAAUGUGCGAGCUAGUGGACGAAGAGGAUCCAGAUGAUCUUGGUCAGCUGGACACGGGUCCGGUGAGUGCAUCUGCGUCAGUAAACCCAGGCGAAGUUAUGGCGCCAGAAGACCAUGACCCAAGGCGUGACAGUGUGAUUACGUUAGAAGCAGGCGAAGAAGUGGCGACAAAAGUCCAUGACACAAUGCGUGAUGGUAUGGUCGCGCUAGAAAACGGCGAAGACGUGUCGCCAGAAGAACAUGACGCGGGGCGUGAUGAAGCGAUCAUCCCAGAAGAACGCAACAUGCGGCGAGCUACACUCGGACCAGAUGAAUUUGGCGCAUACGUGAUUUUGGAUAGUGCAACGACGAGUUGCGCGGAUGGGUCUAGUGGCAUUGUGAAGGUGGCAACGAGCGGCGUCGCGUCACACGCCAGUUCACUAGCUCCAUCGGCUGCGUUGCAGGUGCCGGGCGAGAGUGCUUCGCUCGAUGACUCAGUGAGCACGUGUGCGAGCCAGGUUGCUGGCACUGCAGGCGGCAGCCCAGCGGCAACUGAAAGCAGCAGUAGCAGCAACACGUACGUGGCUGGUGCUGCCUUGCCGGAUAGCGCGUGCAGCCCAACAAACGGGCUGGAUGAGACUGGCCACUAUAUGCCUCAUGCACACAGGCCAGGGAACCAACCACCACGUGGUGGUGAUGGUCUACGAGACAAAGCAGGGAAGCAAAGCCCAGAAAAUUUGCAAGGCGCAGAAAAUUGUGCAGAAGGCAGUUCACCACCAUGUGGAGGACCGAACGAUGCCAAAAAAGGUGACGGGCAGCAGCGAUGGAGUCCAGUAAACAGCAGGCUUGGAAGCCAGGUAAAAGAAGCAAAAUCGCCAGCAACGGUAACUUUGGCAAGUUUAGAUUCUUCAAUAGCACACGAACGACGCGUGUUGGAUCUCUCUCCAGAAGCAGGGCUUCAGAUAAAUUUGGUAAAGAUGAAAAGUAAAGGGCAACGAAGUUUGCACAUCGAGGAACCGGAAAUUUUUGAAGAUGCAAAUAUGGAGGAGUGUUGGCGUCGUGCUAUGAAUGAAGAGUUGUGGUCGAUCCGAGACAACAAUACAUGGGAGCUCGCGGAUCUUCCCAACGGUCAGAAUGCCAUAGAGCUCAAGUGGGUGUACAAAGUCAAGAAAGAUGCCGAAGGGAACUUGCUGAAGCAUAAAGCUCGGCUCGUAGCUAAAGGAUUUGUGCAAGAGCAAGGUGUGGACUUCGAGGAAGUAUUCGCUCCAGUUACAAGGAUGGAAUCGGUGAGGCUAGUUAUAGCUCUCGCGGCUCAAGAAUCUUGGAAGCUACAUCACAUGGAUGUAAAAUCCGUAUUUUUGAACGGGGAGUUGAAAGAAGAAGUAUACGUGAAGCAACCACCGGGGUACAUCAAAGAAGGAUAG